UAUCACUAAGGGGAGGAAAAGAAACUAACAAGGAUUCCCCCAGUAACGGCGAGUGAAGCGGGAAGAGCCCAGCACCGAAUCCCUCGGCCCCGCUGYCGACGGGAACUGUGGUGUUCGAGACGUGAGUUGUCGACCUCGCGCAUCGCCCAAGUCCUCUCGAUUGGGGCCUUUCCCAGAGUGGGUGUCAGGCCUUUACCGGCGCCAUGUGCGGGUCGGCUCCGAUCGUCUCAAGAGUCGGGUUGUUUGGGAAUGCAGCCCAAAGCGGGUGGUAAACUCC
This 277-nucleotide ribosomal RNA is filed under the name Nerita costata. Its description in RNAcentral is "partial 28S ribosomal RNA gene". It matches the Rfam family "Eukaryotic large subunit ribosomal RNA", at positions 41 to 307 of the family's 3401-position model. Lineage: Eukaryota; Metazoa; Mollusca; Gastropoda; Cycloneritida; Neritidae. The record is from RNAcentral.